CACACACUCCGGUCGCGCUGUGCGCCGCCACCCCUGCGAGCCUCCUGCGUCAAUCGAGCCUGAAUGUGUUAUGCCGUGGCAGCCGUCCCUACUUAAGACGCCGUGCAUCUCCUGUCAUUCCAUUGUUCUCGUCGACCAGGGAGGUGCCAAGCGGUCGAGGCAAAACUCUUUUGAUUGUUGUCUUGUCAGCGAGCGACUGUAACCAUGCGGCUUGACCUUGAGGCGACACCGUUCAACAGUCAAUGUGCACCUGCCCGAAGACUGAGCUCGCAAGUUACCUGUCGUCGCGCGCCUUGAUUUCACCAACUCGAAUGCUCUGAAAAUACUGAGGAACAAAAAAGCAUUAAAUCCAGACGAGAGGCCCUGACCAGUCCAUGUGGUGGGAAACUAGAAGGCAGCAUGAUUCCUACCCAGGAAGACAAUGACAAUGUCCAUCAGGAAGUUACUCCUCUCGAGGUUUGCAGAAUGUCAGUAUUGGACCAACCCUGUUGAUGAAUUGACCCAAGAUGGAUCUUUAAAAGAAGCUCCCAGAAACAGUGAAGGCAGCUAGCAUCUGCUUGGAGCCAACCAAGGAAAACCACCCUUUGAACGCUGCUCUGUAUACAUCAAGUGGGAUUAAGCCCACAAAGAGAAGGAACUUAAAGACAAAGUUUUAUUUAAAUGAGAAGCGACUUUGAAUCGCUCUUCAAGAUGUAUUGUUUUAUUCAAAAUGUUUUGCUGGCUGUUGUUGCCAUACAGAUAUGAAUAAAAUUACUUCAUUUUUAAAUUGGAA
Long non-coding RNA from Polypterus senegalus (gray bichir), 772 nucleotides. RefSeq lists it as uncharacterized. The record is from RefSeq and is a predicted model, not a curated record. Lineage: Eukaryota; Metazoa; Chordata; Cladistia; Polypteriformes; Polypteridae. The transcript is spliced from 3 exons.